This 406-nucleotide ribosomal RNA is filed under the name uncultured bacterium. Its description in RNAcentral is "partial 16S ribosomal RNA". It matches the Rfam family "Bacterial small subunit ribosomal RNA", at positions 28 to 526 of the family's 1533-position model. The record is from RNAcentral.
GAUGAACGCUAGCUACAGGCUUAACACAUGCAAGUCGAGGGACCGGCGCACGGGUGAGUAACACGUAUCCAACCUGCCCUUUACUCGGGGAUAGCCUUUCGAAAGAAAGAUUAAUACCCGAUAUAAAGUAUGUGGAUGCGUUCCAUUAGGUUGUUGGUGAGGUAACGGCCCACCAAGCCUUCGAUGGAUAGGGGUUCUGAGAGGAAGGUCCCCCACAUUGGAACUGAGACACUGUCCAAACUCCUACCGGAGGCAGCAGUGAGGAAGAUUGGUCAAUGGGCGUUAUCCUGAACCAGCCAAGUAGCGUUAAGGAUGAAGGCUUAUGGGUCGUAAACUUCUUUUAUAUAAGAAUAUGUAUUAUAUGAAUAAGGAUCGGCUAACUCCGUGCCAGCAGCCGCGGUAAUAC